AUUGAACGCUGGCGGCAUGCUUUACACAUGCAAGUCGAACGGCAGCACGGGUGCUUGCACCUGGUGGCGAGUGGCGAACGGGUGAGUAAUGCAUCGGAACGUGCCCAUGAGUGGGGGAGUAGCCCGGCGAAAGCCGGAUUAAUACCGCAUACGCCCUUAGGGGGAAAGGCGGGGGAGUCUUCGGACCUCGCGCUAUUGGAGCGGCCGAUGUCGGAUUAGCUAGUAGGUGAGGUAAAGGCUCACCUAGGCGACGAUCCGUAGCUGGUCUGAGAGGAUGAUCAGCCACACUGGGACUGAGACACGGCCCAGACUCCUACGGGAGGCAGCAGUGGGGAAUUUUGGACAAUGGGCGGCAAGCCUGAUCCAGCCAUGCCGCGUGAGUGAAGAAGGCC
Molecule: ribosomal RNA, 392 nt
Filed under: uncultured bacterium
Lineage: Bacteria
Description: bacterial SSU rRNA
Rfam family: Bacterial small subunit ribosomal RNA
Source: RNAcentral